UUCCAGAGGAAGGCUCGUCCGCUCUGGGUUAGUCGGGACCUAAGCCGAGGCCGAUAGGCGUAGGCGAUGGAUAACAGGUAGAUAUUCCUGUACCACCUAUGAUUGUUUGAACGAUGGGGGGACGCAGUAGGAUAGGCGAAGCGUGCUGUUGGAGUGCACGUCCAAGCAACAAGACUGAGUGUUAGGCAAAUCCGGUACUCUUAAGGUCAAGUUGUGAUGGGGAGAGGAAAUUUUUUUCCUCGAGUCGUUGAUUUCRCACUGCCAAAGAAAAGCCUCUAGCUAGAAUUUUGGUGCCCGUACCGCAAACCGACACAGGUAGUCAAGAUGAGAAUUCUAAGGUGAGCGAGCGAACUCUCGUUAAGGAACUCGGCAAAAUGACCCCGUAACUUCGGGAGAAGGGGUGCUCUUUAGGGUUAACGCCCAGGAGAGCCGCAGUGAAUAGGCCCAAGCGACUGUUUAUCAAA
RNAcentral lists this ribosomal RNA (464 nucleotides) under Brucella abortus. RNAcentral describes it as "partial 23S ribosomal RNA". It matches the Rfam family "Bacterial large subunit ribosomal RNA", at positions 1353 to 1811 of the family's 2925-position model. Lineage: Bacteria; Pseudomonadati; Pseudomonadota; Alphaproteobacteria; Hyphomicrobiales; Brucellaceae. The record is from RNAcentral.